GCGCAGCCUGAUGCAGCCAUGCCGCGUGUGUGAAGAAGGCCUUCGGGUUGUAAAGCACUUUCAGUCAGGAGGAAAGGUUAGUAGUUAAUACCUGCUAGCUGUGACGUUACUGACAGAAGAAGCACCGGCUAACUCCGUGCCAGCAGCCGCGGUAAUACGGAGGGUGCGAGCGUUAAUCGGAAUUACUGGGCGUAAAGCGUACGCAGGCGGUUUGUUAAGCGAGAUGUGAAAGCCCCGGGCUCAACCUGGGAACUGCAUUUCGAACUGGCAAACUAGAGUGUGAUAGAGGGUGGUAGAAUUUCAGGUGUAGCGGUGAAAUGCGUAGAGAUCUGAAGGAAUACCGAUGGCGAAGGCAGCCACCUGGGUCAACACUGACGCUCAUGUACGAAAGCGUGGGGAGCAAACAGGAUUAGAUACCCUGGUAGUCCACGCCGUAAACGAUGUCUACUAGAAGCUCGGAGCCUCGGCUCUGUUUUUCAAAGCUAACGCAUUAAGUAGACCGCCUGGGGAGUACGGCCGCAAGGUUAAAACUCAAA
RNAcentral lists this ribosomal RNA (536 nucleotides) under Pseudoalteromonas sp. Its description in RNAcentral is "bacterial SSU rRNA". It matches the Rfam family "Bacterial small subunit ribosomal RNA", at positions 375 to 905 of the family's 1533-position model. The record is from RNAcentral. Lineage: Bacteria; Pseudomonadati; Pseudomonadota; Gammaproteobacteria; Alteromonadales; Pseudoalteromonadaceae.